Molecule: non-coding RNA, 253 nt
Filed under: uncultured bacterium
Lineage: Bacteria
Also listed under: 2 other names
Description: partial 16S ribosomal RNA
Rfam family: Bacterial small subunit ribosomal RNA
Source: RNAcentral
UACGUAGGCAGCAAGCGUUGUUCGGAAUUAUUGGGCGUAAAGAGUAUGUAGGUGGUGUCGUAAGUUUGGUGUGAAAUCUCCCGGCUUAACCGGGAGGGUGCGCCGAAGACUGCGAUGCUGGAGUAUGGGAGAGGGAAUCGGAAUUCCUGGUGUAGCGGUGAAAUGCGUAGAUAUCAGGAGGAACACCUGUGGUGUAGACGGGUUCCUGGACCAUUACUGACACUGAGAUACGAAAGCGUGGGUAGCAAACAGG